CACAUCCUCUGUGGCAGCCUUCAAAGAGUGCCCUAGACUGCCACUCUCACCUGGGUUCCUCUGAGCUGUAACUCAAGUCAACAGUUUCUGAAUCUGAGGUGGAGAUGCGAAGCUCUAGCCUAGAGAGCGCUCCGGGGGACGACGGGAUACCUAAUCAAGCAAAUCCAAGAAAAUGCCCCUUGCCCCUCCACUGCCCUGUGAAGCUCAGGGCAAAACUAAAGUCUGGAGCCAUCUGCCUGCACCUGACAGGCUGUCCAGUGUGCCGAGUUAUUUGUAUGAAGACCGUGAAGGUUUUUCUGUUGUUGGGACUGAACUGCCUUUCUUCAGGCCUGGCAGCAAGCACCUGUACCCAGUGAGUUGUUCCAUCAACCAUCACUGGGGAUCCUAAGAGUUAAGGCCGUGGAGAAUAUCGUUGAUAUUUGCUCUGGUUUGCAAGGCCUUGAAAAGGCUGGUUCCUAGCCAGUCAAAUCCUACCCGACGUGUGCUGGAAUCACCUGCAGAUCUUGUAAUAGGGGAGGAAGGCCUCCCCACCCCACCCCCCAGCUGAACCCGAGCUCGGCCAUUUCAAUGUGCUGAGUCACCUAGUCUUCUCAGGGUCAGACACUUUCACCCAGGAAAAGUCCUGCAGAGAACCACGGCGGGGAGCUUCGAGCUGGAAGCUGCUUGGUCUUUUUCCACAAGGUGACUCUAGAAGGCCAGCGUUUCCUUCUGAUGGCUUCGAGUAGGAAUGGGAACAACGGGUCUCUCCAAGCACGGGCAUACUGAGAACCGCAGUCCUGGGACCAACCAGCGCCUGCAAAGGACCAGAAGCAGCUACUGGCCAGCGGGUGCCUCCAUCCCGCGUGCCGCACUGGCGAUGGGUGCUUUGUGUUUCACUCCAUCCUCUUGUGUCCCGUAAAGGAGGAAUUGUUGUUUUUCAGCCUCCUGGAGCAGCCGCGCCUUCCCACAGCACUCAGAGUUGAUAAAGAGUAAGAAAUGGAGACCAGAGAGGGUGACCCGCACCCUGGUGACUAAGCCCUCUAGAGGCUGCCUCCACUCUUAGAAAAGUGACCAGUCACCAGCAAGUCAUGUUAAGAACAGGAAGAAUGUCGCCAGCUGAAUGAAGUUCUUGCUUUCCCUGGUGAACAAUGAAGGGGAAAGGGUGGAGUGGGGUGAAAGAGAGGGCAAAAGGGAUGCCAGUGUCCUUUUUGUCCCUGGCGCGCCGCCACCCCUCAGCCCAGAAAGAUUUCAAAUACUUUCCUGGAAGUGGCAGCUAAGGAUAAAACGAGAUGACUUGGCUGCCUAUCAUGGUCUUUACCUAGUUAUAUCGAUGGAUAUAAGAUAAUAUGGCAUUUAAAAAACAAAGACAGGGCCAGUAAGAUGGCUCAGCGAUUAAAGGUGCCCACUGCCAAGGUGAGUUUCUUCACCGGGACUUAUGCAGUGAGAAGAAUGGAUUCCUGCAUGCUGUGUGCUGAUGUCCACAUACACGUUAGGCCUCCUAAUCUAACCUUUUCUAUUCCUUACUCUGCCUGUGACUAGACCUGGAAGGGGCUAGAGAACAAGGAUCUUCCUGAGACAAAGCAAGGACCCAGAACUACCCAGAAUGCAUCAGGGCGGUACAGCACCGCAGACCUAUUACCUAACCUGCAAAGUGGGUUUUCUAUUUCCACUGCCUGAGAGGGGUCAGGUAAGAAUAGCUCAGAGACUGAGCACAGAGGGGGCACCUUGUACAGGACUGGAGGUUGCUCUGGGGUUUGGGGUCACAAGCUUGAUAGAAACUGAGACUAGAGUGGAGAUAAAAUGUGGCUGAGUGAGGCAGCUGUGGGAAUACUCUGGUAGAGACAAGGAAACGGUUAAAGACAUUGCCUCUGGCAAAACUUAGGAAGAUCCAGGAAGUCUUGUGGCUAAGCCCAGUGAGUGUGGCCCAAGAGGUGAAGGGUCAAGCUGGUUAGGAUGGAGUUUCCUGCCAGAAGCCAGGGCUCACAGGUGCUGGGUGAAGGCCGUCCACUGUACUUUGCUUUCUAAAAAAAAAUUAAUAACAUCUAUUAGGAGCUGGAGAGACUGCUCAGUGGUUAAGAGCACUCGUUGCUCCUAUAGGGUGCCUAGGUUCAGUUACUAGGACCCACAUGGUGGCUCAGAGCCAUCCAUCCAUAACUCCAGUUCCAGGCAAUCCAGUGCCCUCUUUGGGUACCAGGCGUGCAUUUGGGUACAAAGACAUAUGUGCAAGCCAACCAGCACUUACAUACAUAAAAUAAAUUAAAGAAAGAAAAGCAUUUAUUUGUGUGUAAGUGUGUGUGAGUGUGUGUAUGUGAAAGAGUGUGUGUAUGUGCAUGCAUGUGUGUGUAUAUGUGUGUGAGUGUGUGUAUGUGAAAGUGUGUGUGUAUGUGUGUGUGUAUAUGUGUGUAGCUUGUGUAGAUCAGAGGACAACCUGCAGGAGUCCAUUUUGUCUUUCCACCUUUAAAUAGGGGAGGAAAGAGAUGGACACAGCAUGAGGAAAGUUCAAAAAAAUUGCUCUGGGCAUGGGCGAAUGGCUUAGUAGUAGGUAAGUGUUUGUCUCAUAAGCAUGAGACCUGAGUUCAAAUCCCUAGCACCCAUGUAAAAAGCUGGGCAUAGCUGUGUGUCGUGUAACUCCACUGUGUGGAGGUCGGGGGAGGGGAGGACAGCCAUAAGCUGAGGACGGUGGUGGGUGGGCAGUUACUCACUGGCUUAUCCAGCCUGCAAAAUAGCAACCUUCAGGUUCAGGUGGAGCGGUGGUUCUCAACGUUCCCAAUGCUGCAACAGCCCUUUAAUGCAGUUCCCCAUGUUGUGGUGACCCCCAGCCAUAAGAAAUAUUUUUGUUGCUUCAUAAUUGUAAUUUGCUACUGUUAUGAAUCAUCAUGUAAAUAUUUUUGGAGAUAGAAGGGUUGCUAGAGGGGUCGCCAUCCACAGGGUGAGAACCACAGAACUGGAGCCUCUGUCUGAGGAGAAGAAAGUAUUGAGUGCAGGGCAGGAGACCUGACCCCCUCCUCUGUGCUCUGGAGGCACAUGUGUGGGUACCCACACCCUACAUCCAUGCGUGUUUUCUCUGUCUCACUGCUCCGACUACUGUGAGAAGCUGGGCAUAGUGGCCGAUGCCUAUUUUAAUAUCCAAACCCGAGAGGCAGGGGUGAGGUUGUAAAUUCCAGGACAGCUCAUAUAGGCUACUGGGUGAAACCCUGCUUAAUUUGUUUCCCUCACACAGGGUUUCUCUGUGUAGCCUUGGCUGCCCUGAAACUCACUCUGUAGACCAGGCUGGUCUCAAACUCAGAGAGCUGCCUGCCUCUCUGCCUCCCGAGUGCUGGGAUCAAAGGCAUGUGUCACCACUAACACCCAGUCUGUUUUAACUUUUAAAAGAGAUUUAUUGCUGUUUUAUGCUUGUGGAUAAUUUUCCUGCAUGGAUGUCUGUGUAUGCUUAGUUUUUAUGGAGGCUAGAAGAGGGUGUCUGAUCCCCUGGAAUGAGAGUCACAGACAGUUGUACGGUUGUGAGCCACCAUAUGGGUGCUGGAACUCCAGGUCCUCUGGAGAAGCAGCCAGUAUUCUUAACAGCAGAGCUGCCUCUCCACACCUGAGACCCUACUUAAAACAUUUAAACUGAAGCCAUUGUUCUCUCCUCACACAACCACCAAAAGCAACAAGAAAGUGAGACAUCGGCAGAACCUUGAAAAAAGGGUGAUGGCUUCGGCCAGGGCUCAGGACGAUUAGGGCAGAUUCUGGACCUGCACAUAGAACCAACAGGUAUUAUGUCCUAGCGGGAUGCAGAGUCGAGAGGAAAGAACAAGCCGAGAAUCUCUCUAGUUCUGGCUAAGCAUUUGGGUUGGCAGGAAAGGCACAAGUUGGUGCCUACCUGUAUCCACUCAGUACCCAUGGAGACCAGCACACGGGGAGGGGGAGGGGCUGAUGUAAUGACACAUGGUAGAAACCACCAGCACAUAACCACAGCGAUCCUAAAGGGGGCACUUGCUGCUUGCUAAGAGCGGGGUCAAAGGGCAGAACUCUGAGGCACACCAGUGCUCAAAGCUCUAGAAGAGGUGUGAUCAGCGGGUGGGUGCUCUUGAAGUAAGGCAUCCAGUGGCCAUUUUGGGGGCAUUCACCAGGCUGUGGACCGGGAAAGAAUUCUAGGUGAGGAAAGUAAUGAGCUUAAGGAUCCAGAGCUAGGAAAGCCUCGCUUGGGAGGAGAGAGGAGGUACCAGGAGGUACCGGAAGCUGAGGAGGGGAGAGGAGGAACGUGGUUGGAGAUGAGGCUGAAAAUGCGCUUCUGUGCCUGUCAACUGAAAACCGAGUUCAUUUCCUGACGAAGGUAAGGAUGAUGCUGGCUACAGCUUACUGAAGACUUUGCUCUGACGCGUUCAAGCUAGCUCCUCUGUAACGCCUGUCGCAUGUAUACGUUGUUCAGUUAAGUAUGUGCCGAGUGAAAAAAAGGCUUGUUGAGGUCUUCAGCCUCCCGCCUGGUAACAUUACCGAUGUUACCUCCCUCAGUCUUUACACAUUAAGUUUUAUUUUUUAAAGAUUUAUUUAUUUUAUUUAUAUGUGUACACUGUAGCUGUCUUCAGACACACCAGAAGAGGGCAUCGGAUCCCAUCACAGAUGGUUGUGAGCCACCAUGUGGUUGCUGGGAAUUGAACUCAGGACCUCUGGAAGAGCAGUCAGUGCUCUUAACCACUGAGCCAUCUCUCCAGCCCACACAUUAUGUUUUUUUUUUUUUAAACUACAGUAGUAUUGAGAUGCCAAAUCUUUUAAAUUCAGACUCCAUUCUAGAGAACCUGACCUACGUUUGAACUCAGGUAAACUAACAGGCUGGUACCUAACAUUAGUUUCUAAGUUGCACCUCCCACCUCCCCGGGCUAAUCCUCAGCAAGACAGAAUUUCCAGGUUACACCCUCAACAAGACCAGCAUCUUCAGGUUAUUCCCCCAACAAAACCUGCACCCCCAGGUUACAAGCCCACCUCUUACCUAAUAACCACCAAUGCAGAGGAGAACAGAAGUUUAGUUUAUGAUAUGACUCCCAGCACCAGCCAAUUACGUUAAAGGCCACAGUAGCUCUCCAAUUAGAUGCUUGCACAUGUACUCCCUGCUUGCUGCUUACUAUAAAGCCUUGCCCCAUAGACAUUUGGGGCUUCCCCACCCCAAAACCGUCCUGCAUGUUGGUGGUGCAUGAAGGGGCACGGGCUAGACCAAAUAGAAUAAAGACUCUGCCAUGAGUAGCAUCAGAUCGGCUCCUGUCUGUUUUCUUGGGGUUCACUAACAUUUCUCUGGCACAAUAGUAUAGGAGAAACAGCAAAGAGAAGCAAAGAGACCUGGCUUCAAACAAGGGAGAAGGAGAAGGCUGAUAUCCAAGUUACCCUCACACACACACACACACACACACACACACACACACACACACUGUGGCAUACAUCUGUGGGAGCAGAUGCUUACAUCUCAUACACAUCAUACACAUACACAAACAUAUCAUGUAUACAUAGGCACAUAACACAUCCACAUGUAAAUAUAUCAUGUAUUCUUCUACACAGACAAGGAGAGAGAAAUGUAGCUAUAUUACCCUGGGUCAGAGGGUCAAGGAUUUAACUAAAGAUUACUUCGUGAGGUAGAUCUCUGUGAGUUCGAGGCCAGCCUGGUCUACAUAGUUCCAGGACAGCCAGGGCUUCAUAGUAUGACGCUGUCUUUAAAAAAUAAAAAGUCUACCUUUAACACAGGUGGCUUCACUUUGGCAUCUCUCAUUUUAACUCCAAACUGUAUUUUCUCUUGGAGGCUAGCACUUCUUCCCGGGACCCUGUGUGCUUUUCCUGGAAAGGCUCUGACUCUGUUCUUUCUCACUGGAGGGUUGGUCCCUACAGGGGUUAGGGCUGCUCUGUAACCUUAGCCAGGACACUGGCUUCCUGGAUAGGCUUGGAUAUGGUGUUGAUCUGGGAGCAGGCUAGUGAGUUGAGUUAACCUGAGACUUGCUGAAGGUCUUGUUGUGCCUUGGGCUAUCUCAAGAAGCCCAAGUAAUUAAAUCAGCAGUUCUGGUGGAGGAAGCAAUUUUCAGAUCUCCAGUGUCCAGAUAGAUAUCCCUUUUCUGAAAUGAGACUUCAUCGCCACACCCCAACCAGGAACAAAUUCAUACCCACUUGACAGGAAGCACAUUCAGUACGUCCCUUUCCAAGUCAAGCAUCCAUCUGCUUCCAAUCCACUGGAAGAGAUGGCUUUGCAGUGCCAUUUGAAAGUUGUGACUUGCGAAGGGGUUAAACAGUUCCUGUGACAUUGCUCUAUCCAUGAUGCUUCCAUUCGUCCCCAUAUUUAAGAGAGAACGUCUCAAGGAUGACAUUUGUAAGUGAAAUUUCUGACACAGUUAUACUAAACGGUCCCUAAUAAUCUCUCCAGAGACCCAGGUACUCACCAUAAGAACUGUGCUGAAUCCAGUUUAGCCUGUUAAAGAAUGCAUUUCUCAGGCUAGAGAGAUGGCUCUUGCUUUGCAAAUCUGGUGAUCUGAAUUCAAUCCCCAGAAACCAUACAGAGAAGGAUGAAGCAACUCCUGAGGUAAUCUACCCUCUGACCUCCACAUGCAAGCCAUGUGGCAUAAGCACCCCCCCCACAUGCACACAUAUCAUGCACAAACACACAAUAAAACCUUAACAACAAAAAGAGCAUUUCUCAUGUGGGAGGCACAGGCAGGUGGUGUCUCUGUAAGUUCAAGGCCAGCCUGGUCUAGAGACCCUGUCUCAAACAAACAAAUGAGUAUUUCUCAAUAAGCUGUCAUACCCUUUUCUUUCUACACACACACAAACACACACACGCAUGUAUGUAGGUAUUGUGUGUACUUUGAUGCCAAUGAUGAAACCAGGACCUUGUUCAUGCUGGGAAACUCGAUAGCUCUGAGUCACGAUCCCAGCAGUUAUCAGACUUUGGUUUUGUUUUGUUUUUUUUUUUUUUUUGGUUUUUUUUUUUCGGAGCUGGGGACCGAACCCAGGGCCUUGCGCUUGGUAGGCAAGCGCUCUACCACUGAGCUAAAUCCCCAACCCCGUUAUCAGACUUUGUAAUAUGUCUUUGAUUAGUUGUGUACUACUGAUAGUGGGGGUUUACUAUGAGCAGAACAUUUUUUCGGUAUAUAUGUGUGUGAAUGCUUUGCCUGCAUUUGCGUGUGUGCGCACCACAUGUGUGUCUGUUGGAUGCCUUAGACCUGGAGUUAUGGGUGGUUGUGAGACACCAUGUGGAUGCUGGGGAUUGAGUCUAGGCCCUCUGCAAGGGUAGCAAGUGUCCCUCUUUAACUGCUGAGCCACCUUUCCAGCUCCAAAGUCCUAUCUUUGAACAUUUACUUUUAUUCUUUGAUUUUAUGCGUAUAGGUGCAAGUCUAUACCAAGUGCACACCUAGUUCCCUUGCAGGCCAGAAAGGGGGCGUCAGAUCCCCAGGAACCAUAGUUCCAGAUGGCUGUGAGUUACUGUAUAGAUGCUGGGGAAUCGAACCUAGGUCCUCUGGAACAGCUGCCAGUACUUUUAACUACUGAGCCAUCUCCCAAGCCCCCUGUAUUUUUGAAAAAGGUCUUACUCUGUAACUAAGGACAGCCAGGAACUCACUAUGUAGCCCAGGGUGACCUGGAACCUCCAGAGUGCUUGGAUUUUUGCUACAAGCUGUCACAUCUGGAUUUUAAAAUUUUAGUCAUGUUCGUAGUUGGUGGGUUUGAUUUUGCUAUAGUUUUGGUUUUGGUCUUAGAAACUUGCUGUGUACCUUGGGCUGAUGGUUACGGAAUUCUCUCUCCUGCUUUAGCACUUCCUCAGUGCUUCGAUUGCACGCACUACUACACCGAACCACAGAAAGGAUAUGAAAGAAAAUUACCCAUUAAGUACCAUUAAAAAUUUAAUUGAUUAUUAGUGUGAAUGUGCAAAAUAUGGGGUGUUUGUGAGCAUGAGCCUGCACAUGUAACAUUGUGUGUGUGGACGUCAGAGGACAGCCCUCCAGAGUUGGUUUUCUCUUCCCAUCACAUAGAGGUCAGGGUCACUUGUUUCCGUCGCGCUGCAUGCUCCAGUCUCCCUGGACAAUUUUGUCUCCGUCUGCCGUCUGACCCUAGGAGUGCUGUGAUGGCAGGCCUGUGCUGUGGUAUCUGGAAUCGAAUUCUGGCCCUUGGGUUUACACAUAAGCACUUUUACUAGCUAAAUCAUCUGUCUGUCUGUCUGCCUGUCUGUCUUUUGAGACAAGUCUCAUGUAGCCCAACCUGGCCUGGAAUUCUCUAUGUAACUGCAAGUGACCUUGACUUUCUGAGCCUUUCUCCGCCUUCAUGUACUAGGAUUACCGAUGUGUGUACCGCCAUAACUAGUUUAUGAGGUAAUGGGGAUUAAUCUCAGGGCUUGAUAUAUGCUAGGUAUCCACUAUCUACUUAUAUAUAUAUACUGUAUAUAUACAGUAAUAUAUUACUGUAUAUAUAUUAAUACAGGCUUAUGCUCACAAACACCACAUAUUUUGCACAUGCACACUAAUAAUUAAUAUACACAUAUACAUAUAUACAUACAUGUAUAUGUAUGUAUAUGUGUAUAUAUAUAUAUAGUCUUAAGAUAGAACAGAAAGACAUCAAAUAUCCAAGAAAAUAAAAUUAUAAAAAAUAAGAAGGUAGAAUAGAGAGAUAAAAGACAGGUAGUGUGGUGGUAACUCCAGGAAGUGGUAUAAAGGGCGCUGUCCCUAUGCUGACCAUGAUGUGAACAUGUUUACAGGUCAAAGGUGAAAAAGCCGGUGCGGAAGGGUGAAGGGCGGAGAACCAGCCCACUUCUGCAGCAUGCGAAGUGUGCUGUCAGGCUCGGAAUCCUUGCUUCAGAACUGUGGCCCCAGUGUCCCAGCAAGCUGGGAAUUUUACUCAGUGUUUCUGCAGGAAUUUUACAGGAAUGUCUCAUUCAGGCAAUGAGCCACUAUUUUCUGACACACAGUUUCCAAAACUGCUUAUUUCUACAUAGCUUUUUUUUUUUUUUUAUGUUGCAGAUGUUUAAACCUCAGACAGGAUAGGGCUGGGGCUGGGGCUGGGCCAACAACUUGCUCAACAUUCUUUUGAGUCUGACUGGCUGGUGGAGCGUGAGUGUGGCUCCCUAAUUUCUUGGGUCAGGCUGAAGAAGCACUUUUAAGGUAAAAUAUUUUUCCUGGCAUUCAUUCUUGAGGAUGAUGCUGGCGGUUACUAACCGGUCCACCUCAAAUCUGAAGAGGGGCAGACAGGGGAAGGGGGCGGAGUUGCCUCACGUCCAGCUGCUGCAGGAUGGAGAAGGGCCUGGGUGUGUGCACAGCUGCGGGGCUCAGGUAUAGGUGGUCCAGUGUGCCCUGGAAGGCCCUGAGGAAUGUCCCAGUAAGCAAGGCCCAUUCUCCACAGACUCUGUACUGUUACUUCAGUUUGCUCCAAUUUUAUUUCUUUAUUUUUACGAUCUUAUGAAAUGCUGUCGACCAGAACUGCAGCAAUAAAAAGAGAAGAAAGGAAGUAUUUGGAAAUGUUAAGAGAGACCCGUGGUUGGGCUGAAACAUCUUGCAUUAGUCACUGCUGCCGUGGGAAGCCAAAGACUGUGAAAUGUAUCUUUUUGCAUUUCUUUCAUAUUUAGAGACGCUGCCCUUUUCAAGAUCCCAUUGCGCAUGGCAAGGGGGUUGUUAGGGAACUGGCUCUCUCCUCCAGAUAUGUGUGUGUGUGUAUUUCUGGCUAAGCUUUUAUGCUAAUGCUUUGAGGAACGGACUAGGUUGUCCCGUAGCCAGGUAGGGAUGUGGUUCCAGCUAGAUGUGCCUGAAGAUCCUCUGUCAUCAGUGAGCCAUUUUCCAAGAUCUACUUUGGUGUGAGCCCUCCAAAGAAACAAAGGCUUUUACCUUUGAGUCUGUGCUCAUAUUUAAUGUUGUUGUGGUGGGGUUUUCUUUUUUUUCUUUUUUUUCUUUUUUUUUUUUUUUUUUUGGUUCUUUUUUUUCCGGAGCUGGGGACCUAACCCAGGGCCUUGCGCUUCCUAGGCAAGCUCUCUACCACUGAGCUAAAUCCCCAACCCCGUGGUGGGGUUUUCUUAACCUGUAUGCUUCAUACAUACAUUCAGCCCACGAGGCUUAAAAGUAUCAUGAGACUCACAUAGUUAACAUACGUGGAUUUUCUUCCUAUAGCUAGCUUCCUCUUGCCAUUGCAUGAGGUAUUGUAAGUUAACUGGAUGUGACAAAGUGUUGGUGGGUGCAAGUUCAGGUUAAACACCGUGUCGUUUUAUCGGAGGGAUUUGAGCUUCCGUUAAUCUGACUUCCUUGGGAGUCCGGGAGCCAACGCCAUACAGGCCAGACACCCAGAAACAGCUGCAAUUUUAUUCAGGUUUCCCUGUGGACACAAACAUCCAUGGCCUGUCCCUUUAAACAGCUGUCUGUCCCUUUCCGGGUUUCUGCGGGCUCUUGAAUUUUUGAGACCCUGUGGGCUCAGGAGGGAAAAGGUCCCGUUUUCCCUGACCUCUAACUGCAGCGCGGUAUAAACUUCAUUCGUGACUGGCGACAAAGCUUCGGAAUGUUAACUGGACCCACAACUGUCGCCGGGAAGAGUCACACAUUUUCAGAUUACACUACAGGUGCUUUAUCUACUCUGUCCGGUUCCCCCCCCCCCCCAGCCUCCGCUUAUUUGUUAUAAAUAACAAAUUCAUUCGUGAUAAUAAAAAAAAAUCGUAUGUUUUGAAAGGUGUUUGUAACACGAAACUCAUAAAGGGGGCGCAGGUUGUAGGGAAGCAUGGCUCAGCACGUGGCCGGAGUGCUUUCCAGCACAGCCCGCUCUUAUCCUCAGGGCUAAAUCUGAGCUCAUUUGAGAAUAUUUUGGACCUGGAAGGAGGCGAAAAUAACCACUGCAGCUUACCAAGCCUUUGAAAGCACAGGCUGGUGGGAAGGCUCUGCCUGGUCAAGUGUUCUGAAGGCACUCUUGUUUUCCCGUCAUCUGUUUUCCCGACACCCUCCUCACUCGGUAGAUAAGGGACAAACUUAUUUCCCAUGUUGCAAAAAUAGGAAAUGAGGUAUAGGGAGUCUUGGGAGAAUUAUUACCCAAGAUCGCAGUGAGUCAGAGGCUUUUUGAGUACCACAGAAGCCCUGGCUCCCUGAUCAUGACCCCUGAUUUGCUCUGUGCAGGCCUUGCGGUUUUAGAGAAAAAUGUAGUCAUUUCACUUUCGCUUUUGUCCCAGUUUGGUUACAAUACAAUCCUCAGUUUAGACCAAUAUAGGAAUUAUUUUUUUUUAACUUUUUCCUUCCCUCCCCACCCCCCACCUCCCCAAACACAGACUAUAUAAUCCUGGUUGGUUAGACUGGACUUGAACUCACAAAGAUCUUCAUGCCUCCUGAGUGCUGGGAUUAGAGGCAUGUGUCAACAAGCCAUGUUUUUGUCCUUGUUUGCUUGUUUUUGAGACAGGCCUCCUGGAGGCAAAGCUGACUUCUAGCCAGCUGAGUGAUCCGAGCUGAUCCUCCUGUUUUUACCUCCUAAGGAUAUAAUUACCGUAAGCCCGGUUCAUGCAUGCUGGGGACCGAACCCAGGGAACCCAGCGAACCCAGCCGGGCCAGCUCUUAUGCACUCUCUCUCUCUCUCUCUCUCUCUCUCUCUCUCUCUCUCUCUCUCUCACAGGUGCCUGUGUGUGUAAGAACUAACUAAGCUACAUGCAACCCCAAGUGCCAAGUGAAGCAGGUUUUUUUUUUUUCCCUUUCUUUCUUUUUAGGAAUUUCUUCUUUGAGGGAAAAAAAAUAUGGUUGAUAUUUCAGUUGAAUCUAAUUAAUCUAAUUAAUGCCCUUUGGGUGCCAGCCUCUUUUCUAGGCACAGAGGAGACAAUGAGUCAAUUAACCCCAAGGUUACUGUGGAGGAGGGGAACUAAAGGAGCAAACUAAACUUCAGUUUUCAAGGUCAUGGGAGUUUGGAGGUCCUGGGCUUAGCUAAGUGGCAGGAGCCAGGGGCGCCUCUCCUGUGCUCCUGCCCACCUCCAGCUUGCUCAGCUCAGUCUCAAGCGUUGUUAUCAGAGACUAUACCAGUCGGCUCAUUACUCCUGUGCGUUUCCAUUUCCCUGACUUCCGGAAUUCUCAAGCCAGAGCGGAAAUGACUUCAUCAGCUCUGUAAGCCUGCUUAUUAAAAUGGCGCUGGGUUCACAGCACUCGCCCUGUCGGUUGCUGAAUGAGCUGCUGUGUUUCUCCCAGGCCCGGGGCGCACAGAUGCUGCCUUCUCUGUCACAGCUCGAAUGAAUCGAAGAUUCUUGCAGACUAAAUUACUAAAUUCUGGAUGUCAACCCCUUGCUCAAGGGAAGAAAGCGCUCUAUUUGUAUUCAUAGAUUACAUGAAUGAGUACCAUUUGGAAGCUCGUGUCCUCACUCUGGUAACGCUUUCCAUCGCUAUGCACCAACAUUUUAAGUUCAAGCGUAUCGUGUUCGGGAUGGGACGAAUGUGCCGGGUGCCCUGGACCAGUUGCUGCUCCUUAUGGAGUCUGUCACUCACACCAUAAAGGAGGAAGCCAGGAGAGCCAUUCUGGGGAGUUCUAAGAUGCUCAGAGGACUGAGUAGGCCUCUCUUCCCAGACAUGGGGGAAAAUAACUUCAUUUUGGGAUGUAGGAGAGAAAGUCUCCAAGUUUGGAGAUCACUGGAGAACAAUCAAAACAUCUUAGCAGCUGGGGUACAACGCUUGCUUGGCACUUAAGGAAGACCUUAAGCGCUAGAGAAGACACUGCCAGAGGCAGACGAUGGCUCUGUGUAGCCUUCACUGUGUAGAGCUCACCUGUUUCUGAUGGGGACACAACCCAGAAUCCCUAGGAGCCCUUCCCAUUCAAUUACCCCAGAAAUGCAACUCGAUGGGACAAGGUUAAAGAGUUUUAUUUUUCUUCUUUUCUUUCAGUAGUUGACCACCAGAUUUGAACCAAAAAAAAAAAAAUCAUUUAGUGUGAAAGAAUAAAAGAAAAAAAAAUUCCAAGAAUAAUCUUGCAUUUAAAUUAUUGUUCCAGAAUGUAUGAUUUAUUUGUACUGAUUUUUUUCACCCACAGCACAAAAUAAUGAGGUUUCUUUGCUUGGGUAUACCGAUGGACUUUGGGCUAUCCGUAUUUGUCCACAAAAAUCUAUUGUGGGAGUUGGAGAGACGGCUCAGUGGUUAAGAGAACUUGUUCUUGCAGAAGUUCCAGUACCGGCAACCAAAUAGCACCUGACAACUGGCCAUAACUCCAGGUCUAAGGAAUCCAAUACCCGCUUAUGACCUCCAAGCACACCAGGCAUGCGUGUGGUGCACAGGCAUAUACGCGAGGAAAACACUCAUAGACAUAAACUAAAUAAAUCUUUUAAAAAGGGCUUUAUUAAACAUA
Molecule: non-coding RNA, 13254 nt
Organism: Rattus norvegicus (Norway rat)
Lineage: Eukaryota; Metazoa; Chordata; Mammalia; Rodentia; Muridae
Source: RefSeq, a predicted model, not a curated record